This 253-nucleotide ribosomal RNA is filed under the name uncultured bacterium. Its description in RNAcentral is "partial 16S ribosomal RNA". It matches the Rfam family "Bacterial small subunit ribosomal RNA", at positions 524 to 776 of the family's 1533-position model. The record is from RNAcentral.
UACGGAGGGUGCAAGCGUUAUCCGGAUUCACUGGGUUUAAAGGGUCCGUAGGCGGUCUAAUAAGUCAGUGGUGAAAGCCCAUCGCUCAACGAUGGAACGGCCAUUGAUACUGUUAGACUUGAAUUAUUGGGAAGUAACUAGAAUAUGUAGUGUAGCGGUGAAAUGCUUAGAUAUUACAUGGAAUACCAAUUGCGAAGGCAGGUUACUAUCAAUAUAUUGACGCUGAUGGACGAAAGCGUGGGGAGCGAACAGG